Mycetomoellerius zeteki is the source of this 276-nucleotide long non-coding RNA. RefSeq lists it as uncharacterized. The record is from RefSeq and is a predicted model, not a curated record. The transcript has 3 exons. NCBI's taxonomy places the organism in Eukaryota, Metazoa, Arthropoda, Insecta, Hymenoptera, Formicidae.
UUUUUACAUAUUUUGUGGUUCUGUAUUCAAUCAUAGUUGCAAUAGAAUUCACUUAAUCUAAGAACUACUUAACGGUUUCACUCUUCAAACAUGGAGUUUAAUGGAGGCUCUACCCGCUGCACACACACACAUACCGGGAUUGUAUCUUUUGCGGACACAGAGUUCAUAUUAUUAUGAAUUAUUGGAUUUUUUAGAUAUCACUGAUAGCUUGAAUUGAGUCCAAACAUCCAAUCGUCAUGUAAAGGAUUUUGCUAAGCGCAGUGUGAAAGCAAAUCA